RNAcentral lists this ribosomal RNA (497 nucleotides) under uncultured bacterium. RNAcentral's name for it is "partial 16S ribosomal RNA". It matches the Rfam family "Bacterial small subunit ribosomal RNA", at positions 28 to 507 of the family's 1533-position model. The record is from RNAcentral.
GAUGAACGCUGGCGGCGUGCCUAAUACAUGCAAGUCGAGCGAACGGACGAGAAGCUUGCUUCUCUGAUGUUAGCGGCGGACGGGUGAGUAACACGUGGAUAACCUACCUAUAAGACUGGGAUAACUUCGGGAAACCGGAGCUAAUACCGGAUAAUAUUUUGAACCGCAUGGUUCAAAAGUAAAAGACGGUCUUGCUGUCACUUAUAGAUGGAUCCGCGCUGCAUUAGCUAGUUGGUAAGGUAACGGCUUACCAAGGCAACGAUGCAUAGCCGACCUGAGAGGGUGAUCGGCCACACUGGAACUGAGACACGGUCCAGACUCCUACGGGAGGCAGCAGUAGGGAAUGUUCCGCAAUGGGCGAAAGCCUGACGGAGCAACGCCGCGUGAGUGAUGAAGGUCUUCGGAUCGUAAAACUCUGUUAUUAGGGAAGAACAUAUGUGUAAGUAACUGUGCACAUCUUGACGGUACCUAAUCAGAAAGCCACGGCUAACUACGUG